This 106-nucleotide small RNA is filed under the name Methylotenera versatilis 301. RNAcentral describes it as "Guanidine-I riboswitch aptamer". It matches the Rfam family "Guanidine-I riboswitch aptamer". From Rfam's summary of the family: This family represents a conserved RNA structure found upstream of the ykkC and yxkD genes in Bacillus subtilis and related genes in other bacteria. The function of this family is unclear although it has been suggested that it may function to switch on efflux pumps and detoxification systems in response to harmful environmental molecules. Lineage: Bacteria; Pseudomonadati; Pseudomonadota; Betaproteobacteria; Nitrosomonadales; Methylophilaceae. RNAcentral also lists the same sequence under 1 other name. The record is from Rfam by way of RNAcentral.
CAAAAAGAUGACUAGGGUUCCGGCUUUUAUUUUAUAAGAGUGUCUGGUCCGAGAGUUGUCGGCCAAUCAACAUGUGGCUACACGGAGGGAUAAAAGCCCGGGAGGA